CCUACGGGGGGCUGCAGUGGGGAAUUUUGGACAAUGGGGGCAACCCUGAUCCAGCCAUUCCGCGUGAGUGAAGAAGGCCUUCGGGUUGUAAAGCUCUUUCGGCAGGAACGAAACGACGGGCUCUAACAUAGCCUGUCAAUGACGGUACCUGAAGAAGAAGCACCGGCUAACUACGUGCCAGCAGCCGCGGUAAUACGUAGGGUGCGAGCGUUAAUCGGAAUUUGUGGGCGUACAGCUUGCAGAGGCGGCUGAAAGCCCCGGGCUUAACCUGGGAACUGCGCUGGUGACUGCAAGGCUCGAGUGCGGCAGAGGGGGGUGGAAUUCCACGUGUAGCAGUGAAAUGCGUAGAGAUGUGGAGGAACACCGAUGGCGAAGGCAGCCCCCUGGGUCGACACUGACGCUCAUGCACGAAAGCGUGGGUAGCAAACAGGAGUAGAUACCCCGGUAGUC
This 450-nucleotide ribosomal RNA is filed under the name uncultured bacterium. RNAcentral's name for it is "partial 16S ribosomal RNA". It matches the Rfam family "Bacterial small subunit ribosomal RNA", at positions 338 to 795 of the family's 1533-position model. The record is from RNAcentral.